RNAcentral lists this ribosomal RNA (252 nucleotides) under uncultured bacterium. RNAcentral describes it as "partial 16S ribosomal RNA". It matches the Rfam family "Bacterial small subunit ribosomal RNA", at positions 524 to 776 of the family's 1533-position model. The record is from RNAcentral.
UACGAAGGGAGCUAGCGUUGUUCGGAAUCACUGGGCGUAAAGCGCACGUAGGCGGAUGUGUCAGUCAGGGGUGAAAUCCCGGAGCUCAACUUCGGAACUGCCCUUGAUACAGCACGUCUUGAGUCCGGAAGAGGUGGGUGGAAUUCCUAGUGUAGAGGUGAAAUUCGUAGAUAUUAGGAAGAACACCGGUGGCGAAGGCGCCCACUGGUCCGGUACUGACGCUGAGGUGCGAAAGCGUGGGGAGCAAACAGG